CAUCUUGGACUCGGUUCGACCAGGUCUGGUGACCGGCGACGAGGGGCCGGGCUCGGCGCCGGGGGUCGGGGAAAGAAGAACUAGGUCUGGCAGUAGAUCAGAAUCUACCUGUUGGGGAAAACCAGAAAUAGGAAGAAGAGUUAUUAAUGGUUCAUUCUUGGCUGAGAAGAAUUCAGUAUGGAAUAAUUAAGGACUGACUUUAAGAGAAUCUACUUGUCACUGGAUUUAGGGUACACCUGGAUAAUCCAAGAUGAUCUCACCUGAAAAUUUUUAAUUACAUCUGCAAAGACCUUUUCUUCAAAUAAAGUAAUAUUCACAGGGUCUGGGGAUUGGGAUAUGGAUGUGUCUUUUCAGGAGCCACCAUUUAACCCACUAAAUUCAUUAUAUGCUGUUUAAUGCUGUAUCUUCCUUUUGGAUUGAAGAGAUAUGCUUCUGUUUGAAGAUGGGCAAGUGGGCUAGGGAAUUUUUGGCUAGUAGGUAGAAAGGAACUUUAAAAAUAUUUCUGGUUGGUGCUGUUUAGUAAGUGCUUGUUAAACUUUCAGAGGUCAAAUAUCUUGAACACAAAUUGGAGAAGGAGUAAAUCAGUAUAAAGUGAAAAAUAUGAUAUUUUCUCCAAAAGGCAGUCACUGUCCAUUAUAAGCUCCAUCCAUCAUGCCAAGGCAAGUGGCCAGAACUAUGAGAUUGGACAUGGCAAAGACUGAACUACUAUCAAUGCCUUUUACAAAAUGAGGUCAUUGGAUUGCAGAGUUGGCUUUCGAGAAGAUUUUGUGGCCUUUCUCAGCUGUCUAGGUGCUGUAGGUGCUGUGUUUCUAUGGCUGCAAGGAUGAACCAAAGUGCUAGGAUUACAGACUUGAGCCACCAUGCCCUGCCAAAAGAGAAUCAUUUCUAUGAAAACUAAGUUGAAUGUCUUAGAAACACUUGAUAAUGAUUAUGAUAUGGAUGGAUGAUGGAAGGAAGGAUCUAUGAAUAUAAUAUUUGAGUUUCAGUUACUGGCCUUUACUUCUUCCAGAAAGUCAGGCCAAAAGAACAAAGUCCUAGAAGGUCUUCUGGUGAGUCACAUUCUGAGCAGCAAAACUGGCAUUGAGGCAUAAUUAACAUUCAGAUUGCCCCCAGUUUCUAUGGAGAUGAGUCUAGCCCCUCGGGGGAGUAGUGAUGGAUGUGUAAUCUCCAAGAUAAGUAACUGACAACUACAGAAGCAAAGACUUGCAUGGGCUUCAUCCUCUCUAGGCUGUAUUCUAGGAACUCAAAAUGAAAGAAAAAUAGGAUAUGUUUCUUACUUUAGAGACCACAGAAACUAGUCUCCUAUAUUGGACCUUCUUGGUAAGAGCCCCAUCCCUUCAAAGGCCACAUGAAUCUGAAGGCCAAUAUUCAAGUCCUAUGCUGUUAUUAUCAACUUGGAUGCAGCGAGUCAUCUGACCUGACCUGUGGACACAGCCUCUGCAUCUGUUGAGAGGAUUAAAGAAGUCUAAUUCACAGUUACUGCAAGUAUAAUGGAGCUGAGAGGAUGGUGUGAGCAAUAGCACCAAUGUAAGAGUUAUCAUAGAUUAACACACUACUGGUUCUGAUGCAGCACAUAAGGCAAGUACCAUGGGAAUGCAGAGGAGAAAGAAAUUAGGGAGAUCAACAAGGUUUCACAAAGCAGCUAUGGUGAACUUGGCCUUGAGAGUAGGGUUUUCCUGGUGAAGAAAAACAUUCUAGGCAGAAGAAAUAGCAUACACAAAGACUCAGAGGCACCAAAGAGUCCUGUGUGUGUGGUGAAUAAUGAACAGAAAUUGCCAUAGAUUAGGUGGGAAGUCAUUGGUGUUAAUUUAUAGGUUUGAUAGAAGCCAAUUCUUGAAGGGUUUUGUAUGCCACAGUAAAGGACAGAGUUUUAUUUAAGGAGCCACUGAAAAGCUUCAUUCAUUCUACAAAUAACUUUUUCGGUGAGCCAGUAUGUGCCAAGCAUGGUUGUAAGUACUUGUAAUACAUCAGAAUAAUAAUAAAAAGAGUAUUCAUGUACCCACCACCCAAUUUAAAAACUAAGAAAUUGUCAAUCCUUAUGUAAGUCUCUGUGUUUCCCUUGUCAAUGGAAUCCUUCUCCUUGCUCCCCAAAAGUAACCCAAACGCUAAGUUUUGUGUUUGUCAUUUUCUUGUUUUUCAUUUCAGUUUUACUCAUAUGUGAGGAAAGGGGCUUAAGAAAUAUUUGCUCAAUGAGAAACAGAAGAUCAAACUUAAAGUCACAGCAAGUAGGUGGCAGAGUGAAGAGCAGAUCCAGCAGAUUCUCUGAACUCUCGGACUGAGGAUCUCAUUAAUACAAC
Molecule: long non-coding RNA, 2297 nt
Filed under: Homo sapiens (human)
Lineage: Eukaryota; Metazoa; Chordata; Mammalia; Primates; Hominidae
Description: long non-coding RNA NONHSAT221099.1
Source: RNAcentral